UACGUAGGGGGCAAGCGUUGUCCGGAUUUAUUGGGCGUAAAGAGCGUGUAGGCGGCCAAACAGGUCAGCUGUGAAAACUCGAGGCUCAACCUCGAGACGUCGGUUGAAACCGUUUGGCUUGAGUCCGGGAGAGGUGAGUGGAAUUCCCAGUGUAGCGGUGAAAUGCGUAGAUAUUGGGAGGAACACCAGUGGCGAAGGCGGCUCACUGGACCGGAACUGACGCUGAGGCGCGAAAGCGUGGGGAGCAAACGGG
This 253-nucleotide ribosomal RNA is filed under the name uncultured bacterium. RNAcentral describes it as "partial 16S ribosomal RNA". It matches the Rfam family "Bacterial small subunit ribosomal RNA", at positions 524 to 776 of the family's 1533-position model. The record is from RNAcentral.